RNAcentral lists this ribosomal RNA (433 nucleotides) under uncultured bacterium. RNAcentral's name for it is "partial 16S ribosomal RNA". It matches the Rfam family "Bacterial small subunit ribosomal RNA", at positions 29 to 507 of the family's 1533-position model. The record is from RNAcentral.
AACGAACGCUGGCGGCAUGCCUAACACAUGCAAGUCGAACGAGACCUUCGGGUCUAGUGGCGCACGGGUGCGUAACGCGUGGGAACCUGCCCUUAGGUUCGGAAUAACUCCCCGAAAGGGGUGCUAAUACCGGAUAAUGUCUUCGGACCAAAGAUUUAUCGCCUUUGGAUGGGCCCGCGUUGGAUUAGCUAGUUGGUAGGGUAAAAGCCUACCAAGGCGACGAUCCAUAGCUGGUCUGAGAGGAUGAUCAGCCACACUGGGACUGAGACACGGCCCAGACUCCUACGGGAAGCAGCAGUGGGGAAAAUUGGACAAUGGGCGAAAGCCUGAUCCAGCAAUGCCGCGUGAGUGAUGAAGGCCUUAGGGUUGUAAAGCUCUUUUACCCGGGAUGAUAAUGACAGUACCGGGAGAAUAAGCUCCGGCUAACUCCGUG